GGCUAAUUAGAAUUUUAGUGUCGUCUGCUGCUUUAGUGUUUGAAACUCGAAAGUUUCGAAGAAGAGACAAAACUAUAAUUCUUCUGAAGAAAACUGAGUGAUCACUUUUUUGGAAACGUACCGUGUCUGCACGGAAAACAGCACAACAAAUUAUUAUUACUUAAAUGUGGUCGUCCUUCAACUCUGAUGUUAUGUCACGUCUCUAUAGUUCCGCUUGAUUACUCACUCCUUGCUGUUUAACAGAUUUGAGGCCUGAGCCAAACUUUGUAACAACAAGACUUGCAAGUUUUGCUUCUGCUAGCAUUGAUCUGACAUCACAACAAUUUUAGUGUCAUCAUAAACCGAGACAAACAGCAUCCUGAUUGGAGAAUCCAAUGUCGAUCGAGUUACGUGUCUUCUCUUCCCCUAUCUUUAAAUAUCCUCGUGUACAUCCAUGUGAAUGUGGGUGUAUUCACGAGGACUCCCUUUUUCCUAGCCUGCCUGGUGGAUUCUACUUUUCCAGGAAUGGGGCAGUUGGGGCACUUGUGGAUGCCUGGCUGUAUUUCCCAGGCUUAAAGGUAGGACAAAUUAAUCUCUAUUCUUUGUCUUUGACUGUUUGGUGGCGUUGAUUGUAAAUCGUAAAGUACGGAGUACGAUUACUCCAGAGCUAGGCUGUUGACUGGAACUGUUUUCUCUUGCCGUUUUCAUUUACUCAGUCUGAAAUCAUUAAAUUAGUCAUUUGUAGAACAGCUGCA
Long non-coding RNA from Daphnia pulicaria, 734 nucleotides. RefSeq lists it as uncharacterized. The transcript is spliced from 3 exons. The record is from RefSeq and is a predicted model, not a curated record. NCBI's taxonomy places the organism in Eukaryota, Metazoa, Arthropoda, Branchiopoda, Diplostraca, Daphniidae.